GGAGACAGUAUGCGCUCUCCACUGAUUGGGUGUCUCCACUUGGCCUGACUCAUCCCUGCAUUCAGGGCUCUGUUACCUCCACCUGACCUGACCCGCCCUUGUAUUGGGGCUCUGUUAUCAGGGACUGGUUGACCAUAUUUUACUGGUUUCCCAGACUUGCUUUUAAAAGUUUUAAUUUUCUGAUCCUUUUGAGCUACGUCUGGACCUGAAUGAAAGGACUGAGUAUCACCCAAGAAGCGU
This 240-nucleotide long non-coding RNA is filed under the name Mustela putorius furo (domestic ferret). Its description in RNAcentral is "lncRNA (ENSMPUG00000026163.1)". Lineage: Eukaryota; Metazoa; Chordata; Mammalia; Carnivora; Mustelidae. The record is from RNAcentral.